CGCCUGCUAAAUAGUUGAGCGAAUGCCUAGCAUUGGCGUCAACUUCUUAGAGGG
Molecule: unclassified non-coding RNA, 54 nt
Filed under: Paraphysomonas foraminifera
Lineage: Eukaryota; Chrysophyceae; Chromulinales; Paraphysomonadaceae
Source: RNAcentral